This 433-nucleotide ribosomal RNA is filed under the name uncultured bacterium. RNAcentral describes it as "partial 16S ribosomal RNA". It matches the Rfam family "Bacterial small subunit ribosomal RNA", at positions 29 to 507 of the family's 1533-position model. The record is from RNAcentral.
AACGAACGCUGGCGGCAGGCCUAACACAUGCAAGUCGAGCGAGCAUUUCGGUGCUAGCGGCGGACGGGUGAGUAACGCGUGGGAACGUUCCCUUUUCUGCGGAAUAGUCCUGGGAAACUGGGGGUAAUACCGCAUACGCCCUUUUGGGGAAAGAUUUAUCGGAGAAGGAUCGGCCCGCGUUGGAUUAGGUAGUUGGUGGGGUAAUGGCCCACCAAGCCGACGAUCCAUAGCUGGUUUGAGAGGAUGAUCAGCCACACUGGGACUGAGACACGGCCCAGACUCCUACGGGAGGCAGCAGUGGGGAAUCUUAGACAAUGGGGGCAACCCUGAUCUAGCCAUGCCGCGUGAGUGAUGAAGGCCUUAGGGUUGUAAAGCUCUUUCAGCUGGGAAGAUAAUGACGGUACCAGCAGAAGAAGCCCCGGCUAACUCCGUG